UACGUAGGGGGCAAGCGUUAUCCGGAUUUACUGGGUGUAAAGGGAGCGUAGGCGGGAGAGCAAGUCAACUGUGAAAUCUAUGGGCUUAACCCAUAGCUGCGAUCGAAACUGUUCAUCUUGAGUGAAGUAGAGGCAGGCGGAAUUCCUAGUGUAGCGGUGAAAUGCGUAAAUAUUAGGAGGAACACCAGUGGCGAAGGCGGCCUGCUGGGCUUUAACUGACGCUGAGGCUCGAAAGCGUGGGUAGCAAACAGG
Molecule: ribosomal RNA, 252 nt
Filed under: uncultured bacterium
Lineage: Bacteria
Description: partial 16S ribosomal RNA
Rfam family: Bacterial small subunit ribosomal RNA
Source: RNAcentral